Non-coding RNA from Schistosoma haematobium, 46 nucleotides. Lineage: Eukaryota; Metazoa; Platyhelminthes; Trematoda; Strigeidida; Schistosomatidae. The record is from Rfam.
AUCCAGCUGACGAGUCCAAAACAGGACAAAACGAGCGUCCUUCCAU